RNAcentral lists this transfer RNA (87 nucleotides) under Candidatus Campbelliibacteriota bacterium. RNAcentral's name for it is "Candidatus Campbellbacteria bacterium tRNA-Ser". It matches the Rfam family "tRNA". From Rfam's summary of the family: Transfer RNA (tRNA) molecules are approximately 80 nucleotides in length. Their secondary structure includes four short double-helical elements and three loops (D, anti-codon, and T loops). Lineage: Bacteria; Candidatus Campbelliibacteriota. The record is from RNAcentral.
GGAGAGAUGCCAGAGUGGUUGAUUGGGACGCUCUCGAAAAGCGUUGUGCGAGCAAUCGCACCGUGGGUUCGAAUCCCACUCUCUCCG